UGAAAACAGCUAGCUAUGAGAGAGUAUGCAUAGAUAUUCACGUUAAAAACGCCUCAUGGUAUAAAUACAUACUUGCCUAGUAAAAUACUACCAAAUAUGCAAUAAAACAUUGAUAGUAGUUCCCUAGAGUGUGAAAUUGUAUGUUUUUCCUUAUGCUUAACUCCCUUCCCUAAUGUUUUUAACAAUGAAAAUGAGCAAAAAACAGGAAAUAUAUAUAU
This is a long non-coding RNA of Orcinus orca (killer whale), 218 nucleotides long. RefSeq lists it as uncharacterized. The record is from RefSeq and is a predicted model, not a curated record. The transcript is spliced from 2 exons. NCBI's taxonomy places the organism in Eukaryota, Metazoa, Chordata, Mammalia, Artiodactyla, Delphinidae.